CGCAGGCGGCUUGGCAAGUCGGGUGUGAAAUCCCGGGGCUCAACCCCGGGACUGCAUUCGAUACUGUCAGGCUAGAGGUAGGUAGGGGAGAUCGGAAUUCCUGGUGUAGCGGUGAAAUGCGCAGAUAUCAGGAGGAACACCGGUGGCGAAGGCGGAUCUCUGGGCCUUACCUGACGCUCAGGCGCGAAAGCUAGGGGAGCGAACA
Molecule: ribosomal RNA, 205 nt
Filed under: uncultured bacterium
Lineage: Bacteria
Description: partial 16S ribosomal RNA
Rfam family: Bacterial small subunit ribosomal RNA
Source: RNAcentral